Molecule: ribosomal RNA, 464 nt
Filed under: uncultured bacterium
Lineage: Bacteria
Description: bacterial SSU rRNA
Rfam family: Bacterial small subunit ribosomal RNA
Source: RNAcentral
CCAGACUCCUACGGGAGGCAGCAGUGAGGAAUAUUGGUCAAUGGGCGGGAGCCUGAACCAGCCAAGUCGCGUGAGGGACGGCGGUCCUAUGGAUUGUAAACCUCUUUUGUCGGGGAACAAAGGCGCCCACGGGUGGGCGGAUGAGUGUACCCGAAGAAAAAGCAUCGGCUAACUCCGUGCCAGCAGCCGCGGUAAUACGUAGGGGGCGAGCGUUAUCCGGAUUCACUGGGUGUAAAGGGAGCGUAGACGGCCAUGCAAGCCAGGGGUGAAAGCCCGGGGCCCAACCCCGGGACUGCCCUUGGAACUGUGCGGCUAGAGUGCGGGAGGGGCAGGCGGAAUUCCUGGUGUAGCGGUGAAAUGCGUAGAUAUCAGGAGGAACACCGGCGGCGAAGGCGGCCUGCUGGACCGCGACUGACGUUGAGGCUCGAAAGCGUGGGGAGCGAACAGGAUUAGAUACCCGCGUA